This is a long non-coding RNA of Lagopus muta (rock ptarmigan), 446 nucleotides long. RefSeq lists it as uncharacterized. The record is from RefSeq and is a predicted model, not a curated record. NCBI's taxonomy places the organism in Eukaryota, Metazoa, Chordata, Aves, Galliformes, Phasianidae. The transcript is spliced from 5 exons.
AGCAGGGGAGGCCGCCGCUCGCCGCCGCACCGCGCCCGGCCCCGCAGGUGGGCGAGCCGCAGCGGGGUCCUCCGGGUCCCAAGAUGGCCGCCGCUGCCUGGCCCCCUCCUGCAGUUUGCUGCGCUGCGUGAGUACCUGGCAAGCUCCUACUGUGGUGCCUUGGGGUCGGGGAGGGGAUCUCAGCAAGAGGAUUUCUGCCCAUCUUUAACUGGACACGAGAUGACUUUGUUCUUUGGGUGACUACUGCUAGACAGACGCAUCCUGUUGUGAUAAAGGAGACCAGCUGGAUUUAGGACUGCGGCGUCGUGUUUGUGGGCUCACAGCACCAGCCGGCAUGGGAGAGUGCAGUGCUUCCUCUGCCACUUAUUCAGCUGCUGAGGAAAUUGGACACGAGUGAAAAUGGAUGAGGAUGGAGCACAGAGGACGCAGGGCCCUGCCAGGUGCCG